UACAGAGGGGGCAAGCGUUAUUCGGAAUUAUUGGGCGUAAAGGGCGCGUAGGCGGCCUUGCAAGUGGCGGGUGAAAUCCCUCGGCUUAACCGAGGAACUGCCUGCCAGACUGCAAGGCUCGAGACCGGGAGAGGUGAGUGGAAUUCCCAGUGUAGCGGUGAAAUGCGUAGAUAUCGGGAGGAACACCAGUGGCGAAGGCGACUACCUGGCCUGUUCUUGACGCUGAGGCGCGAAAGCUAGGGGAGCAAACGGG
This 253-nucleotide ribosomal RNA is filed under the name uncultured bacterium. Its description in RNAcentral is "partial 16S ribosomal RNA". It matches the Rfam family "Bacterial small subunit ribosomal RNA", at positions 524 to 776 of the family's 1533-position model. The record is from RNAcentral.